UACGUAGGGUGCAAGCGUUGUCCGGAAUUAUUGGGCGUAAAGAGCUCGUAGGCGGUCUGUCGCGUCGGAUGUGAAAAUCCAGGGCUCAACCCUGGACCUGCAUUCGAUACGGGCAGACUAGAGUUCGGCAGGGGAGACUGGAAUUCCUGGUGUAGCGGUGAAAUGCGCAGAUAUCAGGAGGAACACCGGUGGUGAAGGCGGGUCUCUGGGCCGAUACUGACGCUGAGGAGCGAAAGCGUGGGGAGCAAACAGG
Molecule: ribosomal RNA, 253 nt
Filed under: uncultured bacterium
Lineage: Bacteria
Description: partial 16S ribosomal RNA
Rfam family: Bacterial small subunit ribosomal RNA
Source: RNAcentral